This 553-nucleotide long non-coding RNA is filed under the name Numida meleagris (helmeted guineafowl). RNAcentral describes it as "lncRNA (ENSNMEG00000017576.1)". The record is from RNAcentral. Lineage: Eukaryota; Metazoa; Chordata; Aves; Galliformes; Numididae.
CCCAGAGUCCACCUUUGAAAAUAUCUCCCUAGAGCCAAGGGUGAAUUCCAGGAGCACUUGGGACCCCUGGCAUUGCUCUACCUCUGAACUUAGGCAGAGAAAGGGAGAAUGUGUGCUAUCUCCAAGCAGAUAAAAGGCUUGUCAGCAUUCAAAACAGAUGCCAUUGCAGCCCACAGUUAAUCACCACGGGUCUGAGGAGGCAGAACUUGCAAUCCUUCAGUUAUUGUUAUUUACAGAGGAACUGGAAUUACACUUGCUUGCAAACAGAUGAGAAGACAGGUCACCUUCCUGAAGGUGCAGCCUGGAUAGAGCACAUACAGAGGAGAGAGAUGUCUGGAGUGAGUUUACAAAAAAGACUUUCUGCAUUUCCUGCUGCUCUGCCUAGGAGGUGAAGAGGAAUAAUCUUCUUGGAAACCACAGGAAGCAAGUGAUAGUCUUUUACUACCAGAAAGAUCUGAAAACUUUGUGAAAAUGGUACUGUUUAAUACUUUUCCAUGACAAAGGUUAGCUCCUACAUGUGUGUGUUGGUUGAAUAAAACAUUUUCCUAUUACA